This 213-nucleotide unclassified non-coding RNA is filed under the name plant metagenome. RNAcentral's name for it is "partial contains small subunit ribosomal RNA, internal transcribed spacer 1, and 5.8S ribosomal RNA". The record is from RNAcentral.
UUUCCGUAGGUGAACCUGCGGAAGGAUCAUUCAUAACAAGUGUUUUAUGGCACUUUUUUAAAUCCAUAUCCACCUUGUGUGCAAUGUCAGGGUUGAUUUUUCUCUCGAGAGGGACAGCCCCAAACAUCAACUUUAUCUCAACUCUUUGUCUGAAAAAUAUUAUGAAUAAAACAAUCCAAAAUACAACUUUCAACAACGGAUCUCUUGGCUCUC